RNAcentral lists this transfer RNA (72 nucleotides) under Bos taurus (domestic cattle). It matches the Rfam family "tRNA". From Rfam's summary of the family: Transfer RNA (tRNA) molecules are approximately 80 nucleotides in length. Their secondary structure includes four short double-helical elements and three loops (D, anti-codon, and T loops). Lineage: Eukaryota; Metazoa; Chordata; Mammalia; Artiodactyla; Bovidae. The record is from Rfam by way of RNAcentral. RNAcentral also lists the same sequence under 5 other names.
UCCCUGGUGGCUCAGACGGUAAAGCGUCUGCCUGCAAUGCAGGAGACCCGGGUUUGAUUCCUGGGUUGGAAA